GCAAGUCGAACGCUACUUUCGUUAGAUUGAAGAAGCUUGCUUCUGAUUGAUAACAUUUGAGUGAGUGGCGGACGGGUGAGUAACACGUGGGUAACCUGCCUAAGUGGGGGAUAACAUUUGGAAACAGAUGCUAAUACCGCAUAAAACCUAGCACCGCAUGGUGCAAGGUUGAAAGAUGGUUUCGGCUAUCACUUUAGGAUGGACCCGCGGUGCAUUAGUUAGUUGGUGAGGUAAAGGCUCACCAAGACCGUGAUGCAUAGCCGACCUGAGAGGGUAAUCGGCCACACUGGGACUGAGACACGGCCCAGACUCCUACGGGAGGCAGCAGUAGGGAAUCUUCCACAAUGGACGAAAGUCUGAUGGAGCAACGCCGCGUGAGUGAAGAAGGUUUUCGGAUCGUAAAACUCUGUUGUUGGAGAAGAACGUAUUUGAUAGUAACUGAUCAGGUAGUGACGGUAUCCAACCAGAAAGCCACGGCUAACUACGUG
This 488-nucleotide ribosomal RNA is filed under the name uncultured bacterium. RNAcentral describes it as "bacterial SSU rRNA". It matches the Rfam family "Bacterial small subunit ribosomal RNA", at positions 57 to 507 of the family's 1533-position model. The record is from RNAcentral.